UUAAUAUUUUGAUCCUCCUCAGAUUGAACGCUGGCGGCAGGCCUAACACAUGCAAGUCGGACGGUAGCACAGAGAGCUUGCUCUCGGGUGACGAGUGGCGGACGGGUGAGUAAUGUCUGGGGAUCUGCCCGAUAGAGGGGGAUAACCAUUGGAAACGGUGGCUAAUACCGCAUAAUGUCGCAAGACCAAAGAGGGGGACCUUCGGGCCUCUCACUAUCGGAUGAACCCAGAUGGGAUUAGCUAGUAGUGGGGGUAAUGCCCCACCUAGGGGACGAUCCCUAGGGGUUUUGAGAGGAUGUCCAGCCCCACGGGAAUUGAGACACGGCCCAGAUUCCUACGGGAGGCAGCAGUGGGGAAUAUUGCACAAGGGGGGCAACCCUGAUGCAGCCAUGCCGCGUGUAUGAGAGGCCUUCGGGUUGUAAAGUACUUUCAGCGGGGAGGAAGGCGAUGCGGUUAAUAACCGCGUCGAUUGACGUUACCCGCAGAAAAAGCACCGGCUAACUCCGUGCCCGCAGCCGCGGUAAUACCGAGGGUGCAAGCGUUAAUCGGAAUUACUGGGCGUAAAGCGCACGCAGGCGGUCUGUUAAGUCAGAUGUGAAAUCCCCGGGCUUAACCUGGGAACUGCAUUUGAAACUGGCAGGCUUGAGUCUUGUAAAAGGGGGUAGAAUUCCCGGUGUAGCGGUGAAAUGCGUAAAGAUCUGGAAGAAUACCGGUGGCGAAAGGCGCCCCCUGGACCAAGACUGACGCUUAAGUGCCAAAGCGUGGGGAGCAAACAGGAUUAAAUACCCUGGUAGUCCACGCCCUAAACCAUGUCCACUUGGAGGUUGUUCCCUUGAGGAGUGGCUUCCGGAGCUAACGCGUUAAGUCGACCGCCUGGGGAGUACGGCCGCAAGGUUAAAACUCAAAUGAAUUGACGGGGGCCCGCACAAGCGGUGGAGCAUGUGUGUUUAAUUCGAUGCACGCGAAGAACCUUACCUASUCUUGACAUCCAUGGAACUUAGCAGAGAUGCUUUGGUGCCUUCGGGAACGCUGAUACAGGUGCUGCAUGGCUGUCGUCAGCUCGUGUUGUGAAAUGUUGGGUUAAGUCCCGCAACGAGCGCAACCCUUUAUCCUUUGUUGCCAGCGAUUCCGUCGGGAACUCUUAAGGAAACUGCCGGUGAUCAACCUGAAGAAAGGGGGGAUGACCUCCAGUCCUCGGGCCCUUAUCAGUAGGGCUACCCCCGUUGUACCAUGGCUCAGACCAAAAGAAUCCACCUCACGAGAACAAUCCGACCUUACAAAAUGCGUCGUAGUCCCGAAUGGAAUCUGCAACUUCACUCCCUUAAGUCCGGAUCCGUUGUAAUCGUGGAUCAAAAUGCCCCGGUGAAAAACUUCCCGGGCCUUGUACACACCCCCCGUCACAUACAUGGGAAUGGGUUGCAAAAGAAGUAGGUAGCUUAACCUUCGGGAGGGCGCUUACCACUUUGUGAUUCAUGACUGGGGUGAAGUAUAACAAGGGUAGCCGUUACG
Molecule: ribosomal RNA, 1509 nt
Filed under: Stenotrophomonas sp.
Lineage: Bacteria; Pseudomonadati; Pseudomonadota; Gammaproteobacteria; Lysobacterales; Lysobacteraceae
Description: bacterial SSU rRNA
Rfam family: Bacterial small subunit ribosomal RNA
Source: RNAcentral